This 253-nucleotide ribosomal RNA is filed under the name uncultured bacterium. RNAcentral describes it as "partial 16S ribosomal RNA". It matches the Rfam family "Bacterial small subunit ribosomal RNA", at positions 524 to 776 of the family's 1533-position model. The record is from RNAcentral.
UACGUAGGGUGCGAGCGUUAAUCGGAAUUACUGGGCGUAAAGCGUGCGCAGGCGGUGAUGUAAGACAGAUGUGAAAUCCCCGGGCUCAACCUGGGAACUGCAUUUGUGACUGCAUCGCUGGAGUGUGGCAGAGGAGACUGGAAUUCCUGGUGUAGCAGUGAAAUGCGUAGAUAUCAGGAGGAAUACCGAUGGCGAAGGCAGGUCUCUGGGCUGACACUGACGCUCAUGCACGAAAGCGUGGGGAGCAAACAGG